RNAcentral lists this ribosomal RNA (496 nucleotides) under uncultured bacterium. Its description in RNAcentral is "partial 16S ribosomal RNA". It matches the Rfam family "Bacterial small subunit ribosomal RNA", at positions 29 to 507 of the family's 1533-position model. The record is from RNAcentral.
AUGAACGCUGGCGGCGUGCCUAAUACAUGCAAGUCGAGCGAACAGACGAGGAGCUUGCUCCUCUGACGUUACCGGCGGCCGGGUGAGUAACACGUGGAUAACCUACCUAUAAGACUGGGGUAACUUCGGGAAACCGGAGCUCAUACCCGAUAAUAUAUUGAACCGCCUGGUUCAAUAGUGUAAGACGGUUUUGCUUUCACUUAUAUAUGGAUCCGCGCCGCAUUAGCUAGUUGGUAAGGUAACGGCUUACCAAGGCAACGAUGCGUAGCCGACCUGAGAGGGUGAUCGGCCACACUGGAACUGAGACACGGUCCAGACUCCUACGGGAGGCAGCAGUAGGGAAUCUUCCGCAAUGGGCGAAAGCUUGACGGAGCAACGCCGCGUGAGUGAUGAAGGUCUUCGGAUCGUAAAACUCUGUUAUUAGGGAAGAACAAAUGUGUAAGUAACUAUGCACGUCUUGACGGUACCUAAUCAGAAAGCCACGGCUAACUACGUG